Molecule: long non-coding RNA, 422 nt
Organism: Onychomys torridus (southern grasshopper mouse)
Lineage: Eukaryota; Metazoa; Chordata; Mammalia; Rodentia; Cricetidae
Exons: 3
Source: RefSeq, a predicted model, not a curated record
AAUAGAAGGAGAAUGGAGGGAGAAGGGGAGGGAGGUGCUGGAGUUGAGCCACAUGUUCCCAGGCUUGUGACAUGCUUGCAGAGGGGCCAGGGAUCUCGGUACGACCCACAGGUCCAGAAGGUAAGAGGUGAAAAUUAAGUGGCUCUACUCACUAUCACCCCUAGUCAUCUAAGUGAAGGUUUGUGACUCCUAUUCCCAUGACCUAAAUGCUGCUGGCCUAGAAGUCGUGCUUCUAGAGGUUGGAUUGCUUCUGCCAAGGAACACAACAAACAUUCCACUGAACUGAAAGAUGGGACCAGCUGAUCCCCCUCUGGAGCCUUAUACUGAAACUCGGCUUGCCAUCCUGCCUGUCCUGUCAAGAACUCAAGUGUAUCUGGAGUUUUCUCCAGUCCCGUCUGGAGCCAACAGCCACUCAGACUCAA